UACGUAGGGUGCAAGCGUUUGUCCGGAAUUAUUGGGCGUAAAGGGCUCGUAGGCGGUUUGUCGCGUCGGGAGUGAAAACUCAGGGCUCAACCCUGAGCGUGCUUCCGAUACGGGCAGACUAGAGGUAUGCAGGGGAGAACGGAAUUCCUGGUGUAGCGGUGGAAUGACGCAGAUAUCAGGAGGAACACCGGUGGCGAAGGCGGUUCUCUGGGCAUUACCUGACGCUGAGGAGCGAAAGCAUGGGGAGCGAACAGG
RNAcentral lists this ribosomal RNA (255 nucleotides) under uncultured bacterium. RNAcentral describes it as "partial 16S ribosomal RNA". It matches the Rfam family "Bacterial small subunit ribosomal RNA", at positions 524 to 776 of the family's 1533-position model. The record is from RNAcentral.